Molecule: transfer RNA, 76 nt
Filed under: Erysipelothrix anatis
Lineage: Bacteria; Bacillati; Bacillota; Erysipelotrichia; Erysipelotrichales; Erysipelotrichaceae
Also listed under: 2 other names
Description: tRNA-Val(tac)
Rfam family: tRNA
About the family: Transfer RNA (tRNA) molecules are approximately 80 nucleotides in length.
Source: RNAcentral
GGAGGAUUAGCUCAGUUGGGAGAGCAUCUGCCUUACAAGCAGAGGGUCAGCGGUUCGAGCCCGUUAUCCUCCACCA